RNAcentral lists this ribosomal RNA (696 nucleotides) under Gloeochaete wittrockiana. RNAcentral's name for it is "partial Bacterial large subunit ribosomal RNA". It matches the Rfam family "Bacterial large subunit ribosomal RNA", at positions 155 to 884 of the family's 2925-position model. The record is from RNAcentral. Lineage: Eukaryota; Glaucocystophyceae; Gloeochaetales; Gloeochaetaceae.
GAAGUGAAUAAAAUAGCUUUGGUGAAGCGAACCCGGGGAACUGAAACAUCUCAGUACCCGGAGGAAAGGACAUCAACAGAGACUCCCGUAGUAGUGGCGAGCGAACCGGGACCAGGCCAAUGCCUUUGAUUCAACUAGCAGAAGCUUCUGGAAAGGAGCGCCAUAGUGGGUGACAGCCCCGUAUGCGAAAGUGAUGUCAAAGGAUUUGAGUAGGGCGGGACACGUGAAAUCCUGUCUGAACAUGGGGGGACCACCCUCCAAGCCUAAGUACUCCUCAGCGACCGAUAGCGAACAAGUACCGUGAGGGAAAGGUGAAAAGCACCCCGACAAGGGGAGUGAAACAGUUCCUGAAACCGGAUGCCUACAAACAGUCGGAGCCUUGAGUUCUUCCUUCGGGAAGGGCUGGGUGACGGCGUACCUUUUGUAUAAUGGGUCAGCGACUUAAUCUGACGAGCAAGCUUAAGCCGGUAGGUGUAGGCGCAGCGAAAGCGAGUCUGAACAGGGCGUUCAGUUCGUCGGAUUAGACCCGAAACCGGGUGAUCUAGCCAUGAGCAGGCUGAAGGUGCGGUAACACGCACUGAAGGGCCGAACCCACGUCUGUUGAAAAAGACGGGGAUGACUUGUGGCUAGGGGUGAAAGGCCAAUCAAACUCGGAAAUAGCUGGUUCUCCGCGAAAGCUAUUUAGGUAGCGCCUCG